GCAGAAAUGAGCCAUAUUUUUCAGGCCUGUCACGCCGGAGGUCGCGGGUUCAAGUCCCGUCUCUCGCGCCA
RNAcentral lists this transfer RNA (71 nucleotides) under Roseospira visakhapatnamensis. RNAcentral describes it as "tRNA-Asp". Lineage: Bacteria; Pseudomonadati; Pseudomonadota; Alphaproteobacteria; Rhodospirillales; Rhodospirillaceae. The record is from RNAcentral.